UACGAAGGGUGCAAGCGUUACUCGGAAUUACUGGGCGUAAAGCGUGCGUAGGUGGUUUGUUAAGUCUGAUGUGAAAGCCCUGGGCUCAACCUGGGAAUUGCAUUGGAUACCGGCAGGCUAGAGUGCGGUAGAGGGUAGUGGAAUUCCCGGUGUAGCAGUGAAAUGCGUAGAGAUCGGGAGGAACACCAGUGGCGAAGGCGACUACCUGGACCAGCACUGACACUGAGGCACGAAAGCGUGGGGAGCAAACAGG
This 253-nucleotide ribosomal RNA is filed under the name uncultured bacterium. RNAcentral describes it as "partial 16S ribosomal RNA". It matches the Rfam family "Bacterial small subunit ribosomal RNA", at positions 524 to 776 of the family's 1533-position model. The record is from RNAcentral.